GAUGGAACAAUGUAGGCAAGGGAAGUUGGCAAAAUUGAUCCGUAACUUUGGGAAAAGGAUUGCCUCUGAGGGAUGUGCACCGGGGUCCAAGUCCCGAACCCGUCGGUUGUCGGUGGACUACUCGAGCUGCUCCCAUGGUGAGAGCGUGUCGCCGCGUGCCGGACGGGGGAAGGACUGGGAGCGGUUCCUUCAAGGGCCUUCCUCGGGCGUCGAACAACCAACUCAGAACUGGUACGGACAAGGGGAAUCGAACUGUUUAAUUUAAACAAAGCAUUGCAAUUGUCCCAACGGAUGUUUACGCAAUGUGAUUUCUGCACAGUGCUCUGAAUGUCAAAGCUAAGAAAUUCAACCAAGCGCGGGUAAACGGCGGGAGUAACUAUGACUCUCUUAAGGUAUCCAAAUGCCUCGUAAUCUAAUUAGUGACGUGCAUGAAUGGAUUAACGAGAUUCCCACUGUCCCUGUCUACUAUCCAGCGAAACCACAGCCAAGGAAACAGGCUUGGCAGAAUCAGCGGGGAAAGAAGACCCUGUUGAGCUUGACUCUAGUCUGACUUUAUCAAAUGACUUGAGAGGUGUAAUAUAAGUGGGAGUCGAAAGGCGAAAGUGAAAUACCACUACUUUUAACGUUACUUUACUUAUUCCGUGAAUUGGAAGUGGGGCACUGCCCCUCUUUUUGGACCAAAGGCUCGCUUCGCGGGCCAAUUCAGGAGGAAGACAUUGUCAGGUGGGGAGUUUUGAUUGGGCGGCACAUCUUUUAAAAGAUAACGCAGGUGUCCUAAGAUGAGCUCAACAAGAAUAGAAAUCUCGUGUGGUAAAGAAGGGUAAAAUCUCGUUUGAUUCUGAUUUCCAUUACGAAUACGAACCAUGAAAGCAUGGCCUAACAAUCCUUUAGACCUUCGGAAUUCAAAGCUAGAAGUGUUUGAAAAGUUACCACUGGGAUAACUGUCUUGUGGCAGCAAAGCGUGAAUAGCGACAUUGCUUUUUGAUCCUUUGAUGUCGGCUCUUCCUAUCAUUGUGAAGCAGAAUUCACCAAGUGUUGGAUUGUUCACUCACCAAUAGGGAACGUGAGCUGGGUUUAGAUCGUCGUGAGACAUGUGAGUUUUACCCUACUAAUGACAGUGUCGUAAUAGUAAUUCAAUCAAGUAUGAGAGGAACCGUUGAUUCACACAAUUGGCCAUCGCGCUUGGUUGAAAAUCCAGUGGUACGAAGCUACCGUGUGAGGGAUUAUGACUGAACGCCUCUAAGUCAGAAUCCAGGCUAGAAGCGACGCAUGAUCCCGCCGUCCGCUUGCCGAACCGCAGUAGGGUCCUAUGUCCCCCAAGGGAACGAAUCAUUGGCUAAGUCGCUGCGACGGAAGCAUCGCGGUGACCGCCUUGAAGUAUAAUUUCCAUUGAGCGGCGGGUAGAAUCUUUUGUAGACGACUUAAAUACACGACAGGGUUUAUUAAGUGGCAGAGUGGCCUUGCUGCCACGAUCCACUGAGAUUCAGCCCUUUGUCGCUCCGAUUC
Molecule: non-coding RNA, 1506 nt
Filed under: Solanum lycopersicum (tomato)
Lineage: Eukaryota; Viridiplantae; Streptophyta; Magnoliopsida; Solanales; Solanaceae
Description: Eukaryotic large subunit ribosomal RNA
Rfam family: Eukaryotic large subunit ribosomal RNA
Source: Rfam by way of RNAcentral